Non-coding RNA from Equus caballus (horse), 613 nucleotides. NCBI's taxonomy places the organism in Eukaryota, Metazoa, Chordata, Mammalia, Perissodactyla, Equidae. The record is from RefSeq and is a predicted model, not a curated record.
GUAGUUCAGCAGUUCGUAGUGGUAUUUCACAGACUUACAGGAAGAAAAGAAGACCAUUAGUUUCUUCUUCCGGUUCUUCUUAAGGAAUGUAAAGAGCAGGAGGAACCUCUUCUCAGAGGGACAAACAACGUACCUCUAGAAGUGGUUCAAACGAGGAGAUACGAAAUAAGCAAAUGGACAUUUGCAGCUUCAUGAACCAACAUAAUUUGAUGGCGAGCACAGAAGUGGCUGGUGAAGCGAGCUAUAGAAACAAAAGAAGAGAUGGGUGACUACAUCCGCUCCUACUCUGUGUCCCAGUUCCAGAAGGCCUACAGUCUCCCUGAGGAUGAUGACUUCCUCAAGAGAAAAGAAAAGGCCGUCAAGACUGUUGUUGACCUCUCAGUAAGUUCCCCUGUCCGAGUCCCUGUGUAAGAGAAGAACGUAGGGUCACAGCCUCCAGAUAGCCCUUUGGUUUAGUCACAAACGCCCUGCUCCCUGAGGCUCCGUCUGCUGGGGCUGCCCAGGAGCUGGCCUCAGGUUGGGGUGUGAGGGAAGCCCUGCCUUCUGUGCCCGCUGUCUGGACCCGGCGUUCACGGGGAGAACUUGCCACGACCACUGCACAGUGUUUUUCUUA